UGGGGAAUAUUGCACAAUGGGCGAAAGCCUGAUGCAGCGACGCCGCGUGAGGGAUGACGGCCUUCGGGUUGUAAACCUCUUUCAGCAGGGACGAAGCGCAAGUGACGGUACCUGCAGAAGAAGCACCGGCUAACUACGUGCCAGCAGCCGCGGUAAUACGUAGGGUGCAAGCGUUGUCCGGAAUUACUGGGCGUAAAGAGUUCGUAGGCGGUUUGUCGCGUCGUUUGUGAAAACUAGCAGCUCAACUGCUGGCUUGCAGGCGAUACGGGCAGACUUGAGUACUGCAGGGGAGACUGGAAUUCCUGGUGUAGCGGUGAAAUGCGCAGAUAUCAGGAGGAACACCGGUGGCGAAGGCGGGUCUCUGGGCAGUAACUGACGCUGAGGAACGAAAGCGUGGGUAGCGAACAGG
RNAcentral lists this ribosomal RNA (409 nucleotides) under bacterium. RNAcentral's name for it is "partial 16S ribosomal RNA". It matches the Rfam family "Bacterial small subunit ribosomal RNA", at positions 355 to 776 of the family's 1533-position model. The record is from RNAcentral.